RNAcentral lists this ribosomal RNA (253 nucleotides) under uncultured bacterium. RNAcentral describes it as "partial 16S ribosomal RNA". It matches the Rfam family "Bacterial small subunit ribosomal RNA", at positions 524 to 776 of the family's 1533-position model. The record is from RNAcentral.
UACGUAGGGUGCAAGCGUUGUUCGAAAUCACUGGGCGUAAAGCGCGUGUAGGCGGUCUGUUAAGUCUGAUGUGAAAGCCCCGAGCUUAACUCGGGAAGUGCAUCGGAUACUGACAGACUAGAGGACAGAAGAGGGAAGUGGAAUUCCUGGUGUAGGGGUGAAAUCCGUAGAUAUCAGGAGGAACAUCAGUGGCGAAGGCGGCUUCCUGGUCUGUUUCUGACGCUCAGACGCGAAAGCAUGGGGAGCAAACAGG